UUCCUACGGGCGGCAGCAGUGGGGAAUAUUGGACAAUGGGGGCAACCCUGAUCCAGCCAUGCCGCGUGAGUGAUGAAGGCCUUCGGGUUGUAAAGCUCUUUUGGCGGGGACGAUGAUGACGGUACCCGCAGAAUAAGCCCCGGCUAACUUCGUGCCAGCAGCCGCGGUAAGACGAAGGGGGCUAGCGUUGUUCGGAAUUACUGGGCGUAAAGGGCGCGUAGGCGGUCUUGUCAGUCAGGCGUGAAAGCCCUGGGCUCAACCUGGGAUGUGCGCUUGAUACUGCAAGGCUUGAGUGCAGGAGAGGAUGGUGGAAUUCCCAGUGUAGAGGUGAAAUUCGUAGAUAUUGGGAAGAACACCGGUGGCGAAGGCGGCCAUCUGGACUGCAACUGACGCUGAGGCGCGAAAGCGUGGGGAGCAAACAGGAUUAGAUACCCGAGUAGUCGCC
Molecule: ribosomal RNA, 445 nt
Filed under: uncultured Rhodospirillaceae bacterium
Lineage: Bacteria; Pseudomonadati; Pseudomonadota; Alphaproteobacteria; Rhodospirillales; Rhodospirillaceae
Description: bacterial SSU rRNA
Rfam family: Bacterial small subunit ribosomal RNA
Source: RNAcentral